UAGAUGAUGUUAUCACGAGUGAUAUGUCUUUGCUGGCACACUUCAAAUCCUCUGUUCAGUAUGCUGUGAUACAGGGGCCGUGGUGAUAUGGCCCUGCACUGUCUCCAGAGGCCGUGUGCAGAAGGCUUAGAGGCCGCUGAUGGAAGCACUGGGAGAUGGUAGAGACUUAGGGAGGCAGGGCCGGUUGGAGGAAGUUGGUGUCUGGAGAUUUGUCCUGGAAGGGCCCAGAAUCAGCAGAAUAAAUUCACACCAUGGACUAAGACCGCUGAAACCAAGGCAGAAGAAAUCUCUCUUCAUUUAAGUUGAUUUUCCUGGAGAUUUUGUCACAGUGGCAGAGAGCUAACAAGGCAGUACUGGGUCCA
This is a long non-coding RNA of Mastomys coucha (southern multimammate mouse), 362 nucleotides long. RefSeq lists it as uncharacterized. Lineage: Eukaryota; Metazoa; Chordata; Mammalia; Rodentia; Muridae. The transcript has 2 exons. The record is from RefSeq and is a predicted model, not a curated record.